GGAUUUCUUCGGAUUGAAGCAAUUGUGACUGAGCGGCGGACGGGUGAGUAACGCGUGGGUAACCUGCCUCAUACAGGGGGAUAACAGUUAGAAAUGACUGCUAAUACCGCAUAAGCGCACAGUGCUGCAUGGCACAGUGUGAAAAACUCCGGUGGUAUGAGAUGGACCCGCGUCUGAUUAGCUAGUUGGUGGGGUAACGGCCUACCAAGGCGACGAUCAGUAGCCGGCCUGAGAGGGUGAACGGCCACAUUGGGACUGAGACACGGCCCAAACUCCUACGGGAGGCAGCAGUGGGGAAUAUUGCACAAUGGGGGAAACCCUGAUGCAGCGACGCCGCGUGAGCAAAGAAGUAUUUCGGUAUGUAAAGCCCUAUCAGCAGGGAAGAAAAUGACGGUACCUGACUAAGAAGCACCGGCUAAAUACGUGCCAGCAGCCGCGGUAAUACGUAUGGUGCAAGCGUUAUCCGGAUUUACUGGGUGUAAAGGGAGCGUAGACGGUUGUGUAAGUCUGAUGUGAAAGCCCGGGGCUCAACCCCGGGACUGCAUUGGAAACUAUGUAACUAGAGUGUCGGAGAGGUAAGCGGAAUUCCUAGUGUAGCGGUGAAAUGCGUAGAUAUUAGGAGGAACACCAGUGGCGAAG
RNAcentral lists this ribosomal RNA (639 nucleotides) under uncultured Lachnospiraceae bacterium. RNAcentral's name for it is "bacterial SSU rRNA". It matches the Rfam family "Bacterial small subunit ribosomal RNA", at positions 69 to 720 of the family's 1533-position model. The record is from RNAcentral. Lineage: Bacteria; Bacillati; Bacillota; Clostridia; Lachnospirales; Lachnospiraceae.